RNAcentral lists this ribosomal RNA (465 nucleotides) under Vreelandella stevensii. RNAcentral's name for it is "partial 16S ribosomal RNA". It matches the Rfam family "Bacterial small subunit ribosomal RNA", at positions 338 to 795 of the family's 1533-position model. Lineage: Bacteria; Pseudomonadati; Pseudomonadota; Gammaproteobacteria; Oceanospirillales; Halomonadaceae. The record is from RNAcentral.
CCUACGGGAGGCAGCAGUGGGGAAUAUUGGACAAUGGGCGAAAGCCUGAUCCAGCCAUGCCGCGUGUGUGAAGAAGGCCUUCGGGUUGUAAAGCACUUUCAGUGGGGAAGAAAGCCUUGGGGCUAAUACCCUCGAGGAAGGACAUCACCCACAGAAGAAGCACCGGCUAACUCCGUGCCAGCAGCCGCGGUAAUACGGAGGGUGCGAGCGUUAAUCGGAAUUACUGGGCGUAAAGCGCGCGUAGGCGGUCUGAUAAGCCGGUUGUGAAAGCCCCGGGCUCAACCUGGGAACGGCAUCCGGAACUGUCAGGCUAGAGUGCAGGAGAGGAAGGUAGAAUUCCCGGUGUAGCGGUGAGAUGCGUAGAGAUCGGGAGGAAUACCAGUGGCGAAGGCGGCCUUCUGGACUGACACUGACGCUGAGGUGCGAAAGCGUGGGUAGCAAACAGGAUUAGAUACCCCGGUAGUC